AUGGCUUCUUAUACCGUUGUUUUGAUGCUAGUUGCUACAUUGUUGAUUAGUUUCACCAUUGCUCAAUCUCCGCCAGUUGUCACUCCUCCAGUCCCUAGCGCUUCAUCUCCUUCACCAUCCACCGUCAUCGUCGCACCACCUCCUCCGGCCACUGCUCCUGCUGUCACUCCACCGCCGAUCUCAAAGUCUCCGGCUAAAGCGCCGUCCAAAAACAGCGCUCCUUUGAACGGAUUCUCUGUUUCCGGAUCCGCGGCUGUUGUUAUCUUUGCUGCUGCUUUCAUGAUGUAG
Molecule: non-coding RNA, 288 nt
Organism: Vicia faba (fava bean)
Lineage: Eukaryota; Viridiplantae; Streptophyta; Magnoliopsida; Fabales; Fabaceae
Source: the annotation of a GenBank genome assembly